CCCUUCGGGGACAAAGUGACAGGUGGUGCAUGGUUGUCGUCAGCUCGUGUCGUGAGAUGUUGGGUUAAGUCCCGCAACGAGCGCAACCCUUGAUUUUAGUUGCCAGCAUUUAGUUGGGCACUCUAAAGUGACUGCCGGUGCAAGCCGGAGGAAGGUGGGGAUGACGUCAAAUCAUCAUGCCCCUUAUGACCUGGGCUACACACGUGCUACAAUGGAUAGUACAAAGGGUCGCGAAGCCGCGAGGUGGAGCUAAUCCCAUAAAACUAUUCUCAGUUCGGAUUGUAGGCUGCAACUCGCCUACAUGAAGCCGGAAUCGCUAGUAAUCGUGGAUCAGCAUGCCACGGUGAA
This 348-nucleotide ribosomal RNA is filed under the name Listeria monocytogenes. Its description in RNAcentral is "bacterial SSU rRNA". It matches the Rfam family "Bacterial small subunit ribosomal RNA", at positions 1016 to 1366 of the family's 1533-position model. Lineage: Bacteria; Bacillati; Bacillota; Bacilli; Caryophanales; Listeriaceae. The record is from RNAcentral.